Molecule: long non-coding RNA, 346 nt
Filed under: Brassica napus (rape)
Lineage: Eukaryota; Viridiplantae; Streptophyta; Magnoliopsida; Brassicales; Brassicaceae
Description: long non-coding RNA (BNAP_LNC006869)
Source: RNAcentral
AUAAAUUUACUACCAUUAGAGCCUAAUAAAUGUGUGGAAGCACCAUAGCCUAUUGGUUAAGGUUUAAAGGCUUCUACACCCAGGUAUGUGGUUCGAAUCUCAGACUAUGCAAUUUAUUGCAGACUACAUAGGAAAGGCUUGCAAGGGAUCUUCAACAUGGUGCAAGUAAAUCUGGCCAGACGUGGAUCUUCAGAGGACGGCUCAGGUGAUGCAGUUAGGCGUAUGUCUUCAUAAGGCAGGUAGUAUUGUCGGUUGUCGAAUCGUCUAUGUAAUCUUUCGUAUAUCAUAAUUGUAAGAUCAUAAUAAAUCAGCGUUAAAAAAAAGAUCCUAAUAAACGUAUUUUUCC